CUGGACACCCCCUCGCAAAGACUGUCUGGACCUAAGUCGCUUUCAUCGCUGCUCGACUCCUCUUCCCACUCAUCAUCGGACGGGUCUUAACAGGCAAACACACACAGCGCUGCUCAAGAACAACAAAAGGAAAUAUUGCUGAUGAAAAGUGCCUGGGGUCAGCGCUGCUGUCCAUGCCCACAACACUCACCAUCAGAGCAGCACAUGUUGACGAUGAUCUCCAAGGACGUCUGCUGGGCUGUCAGCAAGGCCGUUGCCUCCCUCAGCUCCUCCUUGCCCCUCUGGACAGAGACAUGCAGCCAUCCUGCGGCUUGCUAUUCCUCCACUUCCUGUCAGUUGACCGACAGCCCGUUCAGACCAAUCCACAAUGACCUGCGUCUCACUUGAUUGGUUGAACCUCUGACGGAGGGCGGAACACAGAGACGGAGUCUGGGCCCCUACCCUUGUUAAGCUAGUGGUCUAGUGACGCUAGAUGGCGCCGUUUGAAGGUACAA
Betta splendens (Siamese fighting fish) is the source of this 494-nucleotide long non-coding RNA. RefSeq lists it as uncharacterized. The transcript has 3 exons. The record is from RefSeq and is a predicted model, not a curated record. Lineage: Eukaryota; Metazoa; Chordata; Actinopteri; Anabantiformes; Osphronemidae.